AACGAACGUUAGCGGCGCGCCUAACACAUGCAAGUCGCACGAGAAAGGGCUUCGGCCCCGGUAAAGUGGCGCACGGGUGAGUAACACGUGGGUAAUCUGCCCUCGAGCUGGGGAUAACAUUCCGAAAGGAGUGCUAAUACCGAAUAAGACCACGACCUCGAAAGGGGAUGCGGUCAAAGCUGGCCUCUAUACAUAAGCUAGCACUUGAGGAUGAGCCCGCGGCGCAUCAGCUAGUUGGUGAGGUAAUGGCUCACCAAGGCUAAGACGCGUAGCUGGUCUGAGAGGAUGAUCAGCCACACUGGAACUGAGACACGGUCCAGACUCCUACGGGAGGCAGCAGUGGGGAAUCUUGCGCAAUGGGCGAAAGCCUGACGCAGCGACGCCGCGUGAGUGAUG
RNAcentral lists this ribosomal RNA (396 nucleotides) under uncultured bacterium. RNAcentral's name for it is "bacterial SSU rRNA". It matches the Rfam family "Bacterial small subunit ribosomal RNA", at positions 29 to 410 of the family's 1533-position model. The record is from RNAcentral.